RNAcentral lists this ribosomal RNA (821 nucleotides) under Rhodococcus sp. PAP3-1_Pa. RNAcentral's name for it is "bacterial SSU rRNA". It matches the Rfam family "Bacterial small subunit ribosomal RNA", at positions 56 to 893 of the family's 1533-position model. The record is from RNAcentral. Lineage: Bacteria; Bacillati; Actinomycetota; Actinomycetes; Mycobacteriales; Nocardiaceae.
UGCAAGUCGAGCGGUAAGGCCUUUCGGGGUACACGAGCGGCGAACGGGUGAGUAACACGUGGGUGAUCUGCCCUGCACUUCGGGAUAAGCCUGGGAAACUGGGUCUAAUACCGGAUAUGACCUCCUAUCGCAUGGUGGGUGGUGGAAAGAUUUAUCGGUGCAGGAUGGGCCCGCGGCCUAUCAGCUUGUUGGUGGGGUAAUGGCCUACCAAGGCGACGACGGGUAGCCGACCUGAGAGGGUGACCGGCCACACUGGGACUGAGACACGGCCCAGACUCCUACGGGAGGCAGCAGUGGGGAAUAUUGCACAAUGGGCGAAAGCCUGAUGCAGCGACGCCGCGUGAGGGAUGACGGCCUUCGGGUUGUAAACCUCUUUCAGCAGGGACGAAGCGCAAGUGACGGUACCUGCAGAAGAAGCACCGGCUAACUACGUGCCAGCAGCCGCGGUAAUACGUAGGGUGCAAGCGUUGUCCGGAAUUACUGGGCGUAAAGAGUUCGUAGGCGGUUUGUCGCGUCGUUUGUGAAAACCAGCAGCUCAACUGCUGGCUUGCAGGCGAUACGGGCAGACUUGAGUACUGCAGGGGAGACUGGAAUUCCUGGUGUAGCGGUGAAAUGCGCAGAUAUCAGGAGGAACACCGGUGGCGAAGGCGGGUCUCUGGGCAGUAACUGACGCUGAGGAACGAAAGCGUGGGUAGCGAACAGGAUUAGAUACCCUGGUAGUCCACGCCGUAAACGGUGGGCGCUAGGUGUGGGUUCCUUCCACGGAAUCCGUGCCGUAGCUAACGCAUUAAGCGCCCCGCCUGGGGAGUACGGCCGCAAGG